GUCCUGAAAUGUUCGUUGUAUAACCUAAAGUUUUGACCAACAUUAUUUAUCCGGGAGUCUGGAGUUUUCUGAUUGCGUAAAUGCCUCGCCCUUAACGGGUAUGGGGACUUACAAUACCGGAAACAGGACACCCACCUGCUAAAGUUGCGGGAUCAAAACUAUGGAUCAAGUCAACGGCACCAUUGGGACU
RNAcentral lists this non-coding RNA (190 nucleotides) under Neobacillus jeddahensis. RNAcentral's name for it is "6S / SsrS RNA". It matches the Rfam family "6S / SsrS RNA". Rfam says of the family: E. coli 6S RNA was the first non coding RNA to be sequenced, but its function was unknown until recently. It consists of 184 nucleotides that fold into an extended hairpin structure with a large single-stranded internal bulge. Lineage: Bacteria; Bacillati; Bacillota; Bacilli; Caryophanales; Bacillaceae. The record is from RNAcentral.